Molecule: transfer RNA, 55 nt
Filed under: Halobacillus trueperi
Lineage: Bacteria; Bacillati; Bacillota; Bacilli; Caryophanales; Bacillaceae
Description: tRNA-Ser
Rfam family: tRNA
About the family: Transfer RNA (tRNA) molecules are approximately 80 nucleotides in length. Their secondary structure includes four short double-helical elements and three loops (D, anti-codon, and T loops). Further hydrogen bonds mediate the characteristic L-shaped molecular structure. tRNAs have two regions of fundamental functional importance: the anti-codon, which is responsible for specific mRNA codon recognition, and the 3' end, to which the tRNAs corresponding amino acid is attached (by aminoacyl-tRNA synthetases). tRNAs cope with the degeneracy of the genetic code in two manners: having more than one tRNA (with a specific anti-codon) for a particular amino acid; and 'wobble' base-pairing, i.e. permitting non-standard base-pairing at the 3rd anti-codon position.
Source: RNAcentral
GAGCAUCUGACUUUUAAUCAGAGGGUCGAAGGUUCGAAUCCUUCAUGGCUCACCA